RNAcentral lists this ribosomal RNA (238 nucleotides) under Clostridioides difficile. RNAcentral's name for it is "partial 16S ribosomal RNA". It matches the Rfam family "Bacterial small subunit ribosomal RNA", at positions 1296 to 1533 of the family's 1533-position model. Lineage: Bacteria; Bacillati; Bacillota; Clostridia; Peptostreptococcales; Peptostreptococcaceae. The record is from RNAcentral.
GAUUGUAGGCUGAAACUCGCCUACAUGAAGCUGGAGUUACUAGUAAUCGCAGAUCAGAAUGCUGCGGUGAAUGCGUUCCCGGGUCUUGUACACACCGCCCGUCACACCACGGGAGUUGGAGACGCCCGAAGCCGAUUAUCUAACCUUUUGGAAGAAGUCGUCGAAGGUGGAAUCAAUAACUGGGGUGAAGUCGUAACAAGGUAGCCGUAUCGGAAGGUGCGGCUGGAUCACCUCCUUU